RNAcentral lists this ribosomal RNA (406 nucleotides) under uncultured bacterium. RNAcentral's name for it is "partial 16S ribosomal RNA". It matches the Rfam family "Bacterial small subunit ribosomal RNA", at positions 30 to 526 of the family's 1533-position model. The record is from RNAcentral.
AUUGAACGCUGGCGGCAGGCUUAACACAUGCAAGUCGAGCGAGCGGCGGACGGGUGAGUAAUGUCUGGGAAACUGCCUGAUGGAGGGGGAUAACUACUGGAAACGGUAGCUAAUACCGCAUACCAUCAGAUGUGCCCAGAGGGGAUUAGGUAGUGGGUGGGGUAAAGGCUCACCAAGCCGAAGAUCUCUAGCUGGUCUGAGAGGAUGACCAGCCACACUGGGACUGAGACACGGCCCAGACUCCUACGGGAGGCAGCAGUGGGGAAUAUUGCGCAAUGGGGGCAACCCUGACGCAGCAAUGCCGCGUGAGUGAAGAAGGCCUUCGGGUUGUAAAGUUCUUUCGGUAGCGAGGCGUUAACUACAGAGGAAGCACCGGCUAACUCCGUGCCAGCCGCCGCGGUAAUAC